This is a long non-coding RNA of Stegostoma tigrinum, 434 nucleotides long. RefSeq lists it as uncharacterized. The record is from RefSeq and is a predicted model, not a curated record. The transcript is spliced from 4 exons. NCBI's taxonomy places the organism in Eukaryota, Metazoa, Chordata, Chondrichthyes, Orectolobiformes, Stegostomatidae.
GAAAGGUCAUCGCCUGAAUCCUUAACUCUGUAUUUCUCCAGAUGUUGUGGUUGGUUGGCUCGCCGAGUUGGAGUGUUGUUUCGCAGACAUUUCAUUACCGUGCCAGUUUCCCCAGUGCAAUGGAGGAUGAGGAGACUAAUUCUUAUGAUGGUGGGUUUGUCUUAUGAGGAUCGAUUGAGGAAAGUGACCUCCCUGGGGACGUAACAGCCUGGUGGAUAUUGUUGCUGAACUGCUCAUCCAGAGACCCAGUAUAUUUCAAUGGCAGUGAACUGUGGAUCGGACAGAUGCAAACCGUGUGGAACCUACCUUAGCUGCAUUGAUUCUAAUUUAUGUUUCAAGCAUUCAAGAAAUAUUUAAAAUGACUGAACAAUCAAAGAGUUGUGGGCUGAAGACACUAAAGACCGAGCCACACAUUUCAGCUAAGUGCUCAUCAC